Molecule: ribosomal RNA, 548 nt
Filed under: uncultured bacterium
Lineage: Bacteria
Description: bacterial SSU rRNA
Rfam family: Bacterial small subunit ribosomal RNA
Source: RNAcentral
GGGGAAUUUUGGACAAUGGGCGCAAGCCUGAUCCAGCCAUGCCGCGUGUCUGAAGAAGGCCUUCGGGUUGUAAAGGACUUUUGUCAGGGAAGAAAAGGCUGUCGCUAAUACCGACAGUUGAUGACGGUACCUGAAGAAUAAGCACCGGCUAACUACGUGCCAGCAGCCGCGGUAAUACGUAGGGUGCGAGCGUUAAUCGGAAUUACUGGGCGUAAAGCGAGCGCAGACGGUUACUUAAGCAGGAUGUGAAAUCCCCGGGCUCAACCUGGGAACUGCGUUCUGAACUGGGUGACUAGAGUGUGUCAGAGGGAGGUAGAAUUCCACGUGUAGCAGUGAAAUGCGUAGAGAUGUGGAGGAAUACCGAUGGCGAAGGCAGCCUCCUGGGAUAACACUGACGUUCAUGCCCGAAAGCGUGGGUAGCAAACAGGAUUAGAUACCCUGGUAGUCCACGCCCUAAACGAUGUCGAUUAGCUGUUGGGCAGCAUGACUGCUUAGUAGCGAAGCUAACGCGUGAAAUCGACCGCCUGGGGAGUACGGUCGCAAGAUUA